This 249-nucleotide long non-coding RNA is filed under the name Amborella trichopoda. RNAcentral describes it as "long non-coding RNA (ATRI_LNC001705)". The record is from RNAcentral. Lineage: Eukaryota; Viridiplantae; Streptophyta; Magnoliopsida; Amborellales; Amborellaceae.
CGUUAGCCAACCAAAUCGGAGCAACGCAAGGAGCGAAGAUGCGGUAGUUCGUUUCGUGUAGAAAGAAACGCGGGAAGGAGACUCGGACUCGAACUCUCAAUCAGCAGUCCAUAGGAACAACUGACAUUGCCUCUAUUACUGCCUCAUCCCCUACUCCAAUAGAUGCUACUCGUUAUGCAGAUGUAGUCAAUACCACUCAUGCCUCGAAAGCCUUUGGUGCCUGCACUCGGAAUAGCAUAUUCACUUGUU